RNAcentral lists this unclassified non-coding RNA (339 nucleotides) under soil metagenome. RNAcentral's name for it is "partial contains 5.8S ribosomal RNA, internal transcribed spacer 2, and large subunit ribosomal RNA". The stretch from base 1 to 120 matches the Rfam family "5.8S ribosomal RNA", at positions 35 to 154 of the family's 154-position model. The record is from RNAcentral.
GAUGAAGAACGCAGCGAAAUGCGAUAACUAGUGUGAAUUGCAGAUUUCAGUGAAUCAUCGAGUCUUUGAACGCACAUUGCGCCCCCUGGUAUUCCGGGGGGCAUGCCUGUCCGAGCGUCAUUGCUGCCCUCAAGCACGGCUUGUGUGUUGGGCUCCGUCCCCCCGGGGACGGGCCCGAAAGGCAGCGGCGGCACCGAGUCCGGUCCUCGAGCGUAUGGGGCUUUGUCACCCGCUCUGUAGGCCCGGCCGGCGCCAGCCGACAACCCAUCAUCCUUUUCAGGUUGACCUCGGAUCAGGUAGGGAUACCCGCUGAACUUAAGCAUAUCAAUAAGCGGAGGA